GGCGUGCUUAACACAUGCAAGUCGAACGAUGAACUUGGAGCUUGCUCUGGGGGAUUAGUGGCGAACGGGUGAGUAACACGUGAGUAACCUGCCCUGGACUCUGGGAUAACUUCGAGAAAUCGGAGCUAAUACCGGAUAGGACCUUGCACCGCAUGGUGUGGGGUGGAAAGUUUUUCGGUUUGGGAUGGACUCGCGGCCUAUCAGCUUGUUGGUGAGGUAAUGGCUCACCAAGGCGUCGACGGGUAGCCGGCCUGAGAGGGUGACCGGCCACACUGGGACUGAGACACGGCCCAGACUCCUACGGGAGGCAGCAGUGGGGAAUAUUGCACAAUGGGCGCAAGCCUGAUGCAGCAACGCCGCGUGCGGGAUGACGGCCUUCGGGUUGUAAACCGCUUUUAGUAGGGAAGAAGCCUUCGGGUGACGGUACCUGCAGAAAAAGGACCGGCUAACUACGUGCCAGCAGCCGCGGUAAUACGUAGGGUCCGAGCGUUGUCCGGAAUUAUUGGGCGUAAAGAGCUCGUAGGCGGUUUGUCGCGUCUGCUGUGAAAACUAGAGGCUCAACCUCUAGCCUGCAGUGGGUACGGGCAGACUUGAGUGGUGUAGGGGAGACUGGAAUUCCUGGUGUAGCGGUGGAAUGCGCAGAUAUCAGGAGGAACAC
This 658-nucleotide ribosomal RNA is filed under the name Agromyces sp. RNAcentral describes it as "bacterial SSU rRNA". It matches the Rfam family "Bacterial small subunit ribosomal RNA", at positions 41 to 709 of the family's 1533-position model. The record is from RNAcentral. Lineage: Bacteria; Bacillati; Actinomycetota; Actinomycetes; Micrococcales; Microbacteriaceae.